GGUGAACGCUGGCGGCGUGCCUAACACAUGCAAGUCGAUCGGAGCAGCAAUGCUUAGAGGCGAACGGGUGAGGAAAACGUAGUAACCAACCCUUUAGACUGGGAUAGCCACUGGAAACGGUGGGUAAUACCGGAUAAGCUCGAGAGAGGAAAGGCAGAGAAGCGCUAAAGGACGGAACUGCGCCCCAUCAGAUAGUUGGUGAGGUAAAGGCUUACCAAGUCAAAGACGGGAAACCGACGUGAGAGCGUGUACGGUCACAAGGGCACUGAGAGACGGGCCCUACUCCUACGGGAGGCAGCAGUAGGGAAUCUUCGGCAAUGGGGGCAACCCUGACCGAGCAACGCCGCGUGAGUGAAGAAGGUUUUCGGAUCGUAAAGCUCUGUUGUAAGAGAAGAACGUGUGUGAGAGUGGA
This 412-nucleotide ribosomal RNA is filed under the name uncultured bacterium. Its description in RNAcentral is "bacterial SSU rRNA". It matches the Rfam family "Bacterial small subunit ribosomal RNA", at positions 28 to 465 of the family's 1533-position model. The record is from RNAcentral.